Molecule: ribosomal RNA, 467 nt
Filed under: Symphimus leucostomus (Mexican white-lipped snake)
Lineage: Eukaryota; Metazoa; Chordata; Lepidosauria; Squamata; Colubridae
Description: partial 12S ribosomal RNA
Source: RNAcentral
UAUGCCUAACCGUAACACAACAAUUAAAUCACCAAUUGUUCGCCAAAUAACUACGAGCACAAGACUUAAAAUUUAAAAGACUUGACGGUACCUCACAACAACCUAGAGGAGCCUGUCUGACAACCGAUACCCCACGAUCAACCCAACCCCCCCUAGCCCCAACAGUCUAUAUACCGCCGUCGCCAGCCCACCUUAUGAAAGAAACAAAGUGAGCCAAAUAGUCACACACUAACACGACAGGUCGAGGUGUAACUAAUGGGUGGGCCAAGAUGGGCUACAUUUUCUAAUACAGAAAACACGGAUAAACAAUGAAAAAGAAACCGAAGGCGGAUUUAGCAGUAUAUCAGGAACAUAAUGCCUAAUUGAAACCAAUGCAAUGAGGUGCGCACACACCGCCCGUCAUCCCUGUCAACUACACAAAACAUACAUAAACAAACACAACAAAUAAAGCAGGGCAAGUCGUAACA